This 435-nucleotide ribosomal RNA is filed under the name uncultured bacterium. Its description in RNAcentral is "partial 16S ribosomal RNA". It matches the Rfam family "Bacterial small subunit ribosomal RNA", at positions 29 to 507 of the family's 1533-position model. The record is from RNAcentral.
AGCGAACGCUGGCGGCAGGCUUAACACAUGCAAGUCGAGCGGGCACUUUCGGGUGUCAGCGGCGGACGGGUGAGUAACGCGCGGGAACGUGCCCUCUGGUUCGGAAUAACUCAGGGAAACUUGAGCUAAUACCGGAUACGCCCUUUUGGGGAAAGGCUUGCUGCCGGAGGAUCGGCCCGCGUCUGAUUAGCUAGUUGGUGAGGUAACGGCUCACCAAGGCGACGAUCAGUAGCUGGCCUGAGAGGAUGAUCAGCCACACUGGGACUGAGACACGGCCCAGACUCCUACGGGAGGCAGCAGUGGGGAAUAUUGGACAAUGGGCGCAAGCCUGAUCCGGCCAUGCCGCGUGAGUGAUGAAGGCCUUAGGGUUGUAAAGCUCUUUUAUCCGGGACGAUAAUGACGGUACCGGAGGAAUAAGCCCCGGCUAACUUCGUG